This is a long non-coding RNA of Hibiscus syriacus, 340 nucleotides long. RefSeq lists it as uncharacterized. The record is from RefSeq and is a predicted model, not a curated record. Lineage: Eukaryota; Viridiplantae; Streptophyta; Magnoliopsida; Malvales; Malvaceae. The transcript has 3 exons.
GGUCCUUUCUGCAAUGGGAAAGACUACCAAUAAGCUUUUGCUGGUAAUCCUCACUUAAUUUACCGUUUUAUCUUUUGUUUUGUAUCCAUUAAUUUCUUGGACCGUAGAAAUAAAGGGUUUGUUAAGAAAUUGAUUUUUGCUUGAUGAUUGGGCUGGAGAGAAGGCUGUUAGGUGUGGCGUCACUAAUGUAGAUGGUUUAGAAGAGUUGAGCUUUAUACAAGAGCUGCAUCAUAGGACGGCCGAUGAGCUUGGAGCGGCAAGGUCAAUUGUCAAUGGUCACCUGGAAGUGCUGGAGCAGCUCUUAAAGGGAAUUGCUAUGAUGAAAGAGUUAACUUUAGGG